Long non-coding RNA from Polyodon spathula (Mississippi paddlefish), 876 nucleotides. RefSeq lists it as uncharacterized. Lineage: Eukaryota; Metazoa; Chordata; Actinopteri; Acipenseriformes; Polyodontidae. The transcript is spliced from 3 exons. The record is from RefSeq and is a predicted model, not a curated record.
AUCCACAUGGUGCAAUGUAAUUUAACAUGUAAAUAGCACAAAUGAGGAUGCAGUAGACAUGUGUUUAAUUAGAACGGCUAGAGGUGGAGGACCAUCAACACUGUUUCAAUUAACAGCCGAAGAAGAAUGCGCUGCAGUCAAUAUUCCACGGGGGAGCAUUGCAGGACUGGGAGGCAUUGAUGGUGUAACCCUAUCGCACGUGUCAGCAUCUGAACAUCUUGGAAGCCCAACGGGAGCAGACGAUUCUCAAAAUGGGCCAGACCAACAAGGUCCAAUUAUGCAAGAUGAAGAGCAUGAUUCCUUAGGUUCUCAUUUAUCAGCUGCGUCCUCCAGAUUGUGAUCGUCCACCUAUAGAGGAAAAGAACAAUGAGGGAAGAGCAUCGCUGCUGCAGCAAGAGAAGGAGAAACCUGCUCCCAAAUGUAUUGAAGUGCAAGAAAGAGCAUUUGCUGGAGUGAAUAAGAAUGUACCAAAUCUAAAUGAGACACUGAAUAGAAUGUGCUUGUAUAUGGAAAGUUCCAUAAAACUUAUGGGGGGGAAAAGUUUAAAGUUGAGAGAGGUUAGAUCUGGAGAGAGCAUAUUAUGCAUCAUUCUUCAAGGCCACCAGGCACACACAUAACUGCAGAAACUUCCCGAUGCUAUCCUGUUUACUUUGCAUGCUUCUGCUACUUGUGCCCAAGAUCAGAAUGAAGCUGAGGCCUCAUUACUGCCAAGAAGAGCAGGGCGACCAAGAAAAUGCUGAGCGGCAUUAUAACAAAUGUGCAAUAUAUCUGCUUCAAUAUUUGUAUGUUUGAUUUUGUGUUUUUUUUUCACAUUUAAUGUACAUGAGCAUACACUUGCCCUGAUUUUCAAUCGUUAAGCAUUAUUCAUUUUCAGUA